RNAcentral lists this long non-coding RNA (1103 nucleotides) under Medicago truncatula (barrel medic). Its description in RNAcentral is "lncRNA gene8123". The record is from RNAcentral. Lineage: Eukaryota; Viridiplantae; Streptophyta; Magnoliopsida; Fabales; Fabaceae.
AUUCAAUUCAACUAACUAACCCAUUCAUUUACAAAGAUUUGAACCAAGAACAAUAUCCGUCAGAGACUAAUAGCAUCAAAAUCAGAAACUAAUUCUUACUCCAACAUUCCUUCAUCGUGAUUUCAGAUUAAUUCGAAACAAAAAGAAGCAACGAUAUAAAUAAUCUAAGAAACCAGAAGUUGCAACAUUUCAAAAGAGAUUAAAAGCAAAACGAAACCAUUGAUAAUCAUAACUGAGAAGAUGAAGAUGUUGCUGAUUUGAGAUAAAUCUUCAGAAAACUUUCAAGACACUUCAUUCUAUCCUUCAUAGCUAGCGUAUCAACUUUGAUAAUUUCCAAUUCCCUUUUGAUAGACCGAACACCAACCAAAAGAUUAUCCAACUCAGCUAACCUAUUCAUCCUUGCUCGUUUCGCUGCUUCUUCUUCGUCAACCUCUUCAUCAUCAUCAUCAUCAUCAUCAUCUUCUUCUUCUUCUUCUUGAAGCUGGUUGGGAAUCUGAUGCGAAACGAAGGAUUUGCGGUGUUCCGUGGCCGUGGAAAGUAGAUCGGUGAUGUCGGCGAGGGAUUUGUGAAGGUGCUUCUGCACGAAUUGAUCAUCAACGACAAGAGAUUUCCACCACUUGCAUACUGACCUCAACUGCAGAGGAUUGUUUGAGUCAACUCUAGCAAGGAUUUCGAUCAUCAGUUCCACCGGGAGAAUCGUGGUCGGUGACUCCGCCGUUGCAUCCGCCAUCAUUGCCGUCGUUAAAGCUUCCGUUGAUUUUUUCUAGGAUUUUAGGGUUUCACGGGUUUAUCACAUCAGAACUUUUUUCCUUCCGGGUCGGUAUCUGUCACCCAGAUGUUUAUAGCUCCGAUUUUGAUGUUCUGUCUUCUGUGUAGAUAAAUAAUGGGAAAUUUUAUGGUACACCCAACAUCUUGAACAGUGGCGGAGCCUUUUAUGGGCUGAGGUGGGCCACGGCCCAUCCGAAAAAAUAAAAAAAUCAACGACUAUAGGUCUAUUUUGCGAGAUUUUAUGCAAUUUUGUGUGAGUUUUAUGUUUUGCUUGAUCCAAAUUCCUGCAAAGUGGUGUAGUGGCCCACCCGAAAAUUUAAAUAAUUCAAUUAUAC